RNAcentral lists this ribosomal RNA (432 nucleotides) under uncultured cyanobacterium. RNAcentral describes it as "bacterial SSU rRNA". It matches the Rfam family "Bacterial small subunit ribosomal RNA", at positions 29 to 507 of the family's 1533-position model. Lineage: Bacteria; Bacillati; Cyanobacteriota. The record is from RNAcentral.
AACGAACGCUGGCGGCAUGCCUAACACAUGCAAGUCGAACGAACCUUCGGGUUAGUGGCGGACGGGUGAGUAACGCGUGAGAAUCUGCCCUCAGGAGGGGGACAACAGCUGGAAACGGCUGCUAAUACCCCAUAUGCCGCGAGGUGAAAUGAAUUUCGCCUGAGGAUGAGCUCGCGUCUGAUUAGCUAGUUGGUGAGGUAAUGGCUCACCAAGGCAUCGAUCAGUAGCUGGUCUGAGAGGAUGAUCAGCCACACUGGGACUGAGACACGGCCCAGACUCCUACGGGAGGCAGCAGUGGGGAAUUUUCCGCAAUGGGCGAAAGCCUGACGGAGCAACGCCGCGUGAGGGAUGAAGGCCUCUGGGCUGUAAACCUCUUUUAUCAAGGAAGAAGAUCUGACGGUACUUGAUGAAUAAGCCACGGCUAAUUCCGUG